RNAcentral lists this ribosomal RNA (509 nucleotides) under uncultured bacterium. Its description in RNAcentral is "partial 16S ribosomal RNA". The stretch from base 20 to 332 matches the Rfam family "Bacterial small subunit ribosomal RNA", at positions 47 to 358 of the family's 1533-position model. The record is from RNAcentral.
GACGAACGCUGGCGGCGUGCUUAACACAUGCAAGUCGAACGGAAAGGCCCUGCUUUUGUGGGGUGCUCGAGUGGCGAACGGGUGAGUAACACGUGAGUAACCUGCCCUUGACUUUGGGAUAACUUCAGGAAACUGGGGCUAAUACCGGAUAGGAGCUCCUGCUGCAUGGUGGGGGUUGGAAAGUUUCGGCGGUUGGGGAUGGACUCGCGGCUUAUCAGCUUGUUGGUGGGGUAGUGGCUUACCAAGGCUUUGACGGGUAGCCGGCCUGAGAGGGUGACCGGCCAGCGUGGGACGGGGAUGCGGCCCAGCAGUGUGGGGGGGGGAGGGGUGGGGAAGAGGGGACGGCGGGGGGGGGACGGAUGCAGCGAGGCGGCGUGGGGGCGGACGGCGGGCGGGUGGGAGGCCGCGUUCGGCGGGGAGGAAGGGUUGGUGAGGGUGGUGGGAAAGGAGGCAGGGGGUAACGACGGGGCAGCCGCCGUGGUAAUACUAGGAAGAGCACACGUCCGAAC